This 2317-nucleotide long non-coding RNA is filed under the name Sus scrofa (pig). RNAcentral's name for it is "lncRNA (ENSSSCG00070009804.1)". The record is from RNAcentral. Lineage: Eukaryota; Metazoa; Chordata; Mammalia; Artiodactyla; Suidae.
AUGGGGAACCGAUGGGGGGGUGAGCAAGGGGGGCUAAAGGGGGUCGCGUGGUCUCGGUCCCUAAGGGCAGGCCUGAAGGGAGGGAUGGGGCUGCGGGCGAAAUUUUCCGAGCCUCCUCGCCUGCGGCGCCCCCUCCUCAGCUCCCUGAGCGCUCCCCUCCCCCGGGGCCCGCACACCCAGCCGAGGGAUGCAGGGUGCGCGGGGAUAUGCGAGGAUGCGCGGCGCUGCAGGCGCGGCCCAGGGCCCCUCGGGGGUCGCGUCACCGAGGAAGCGAAGCCGGGAGCUGGAUGGUCAAUGCCUUCCGCCCUGGGGGUAACAGUCCCCCUUCUCCAGCCCAGACCUCCCCAAAGCGCGCGCGGACCUCCCAAAGGAGCCGGGGGUGGGGUCCCCAAGCACCCCGCGCUCUCACCGCUUCUCCUCUGCUCUGCCUUCUUCUCCGGCUCAAGCUCCAGCCCGGUCGCCUCCUGGGCUCCCCCCGGAGUGGGAGGGAGCCUCGGUCCCGCCUCCGCGCCCUUUCUCUCCCAGGCCGCGCACCAGGGCGCUGGGCUUUCGGCGUGCGGACCUACUACCCUGCCGACCGACGGACGCGUGUGCCUGCUGCCGGACGCCGGAAUCCCGCGGCAGGGCUCUGGCUUUCAGCAGAUUCUUCUCCACGGAGGUUGUGACCCCAAAGAUUCAGAGUUGAUGCUGUAACACCCUUAUGUUAUAGACAAGGAUCUGAGGAUUCCGGGAUGGAGAAGAAACUGGCUCAAAGUUACAUGGAAAUUUAGCAGCAAGUUGGAAAGAACCCAUGACUCCAGACUGUAUAAUGCUAUUUAAGGUCUGACUAAAUGUCACCUCCUGCAGGAAGCCUUCCCUGAACUUGUCCCAUCUUCCUCUGUGUUCCUUUGCACAUACCUUGAUGUGACACCCUAUAUCACAAUGAGCCACUUCAAUGGAAUUUGUCCCUGCUAGAAUGAGCCAUCCAUGAGAUCGGAGACUGUGUCUUACUCAUCUUUGUGUGGUGUGGCUGGUGUUUAUUACUUAAUCGCUAUCGUUUAUUGAGUGCCUAUUAUGUGCCAAGGCACUUUUGUAAUGCUCAUUCCAUUUCACAGUUGUCCCACAAGGUAGGUAAUAUUGUCCUCAUUUCACAUAUGGAAAAAAAUCUCCUGGAGCUCAGAGGUUUGCCCAAGUUCCCACAGAGAGUGAGUGGUAGUGCUGAGAUUUGAAUCCCAAACCCUUUUGCACCUCCCACUUCACCAGUGGUGUUUUUUCAGUCGUUAAUGAGUAGCAUCCCGCUGAGGAUCUGGAGCAGCAGGGCCCUAAUGGCCCCCUCUCCACUGGGCUCUGGAGCAUCUGGAAGUACAAAGCCCUGCUCCCAGGGCUUCCUGGGAGAAAAGGAUUCUAAGGAGGUGAAAGGAAUCUUUGAGGAGCUCACAAACCCCUGGGGAGAUGGCUCAGACACCAGUAGAGAAGCCAGUAGAACAAAAGCAAUCCAUCAUGAACUCUUUAAAAUUUACUGUAUGCCUGCAUGACAUGCCUAGCAGAGGAAUCCCAGGAUUUUCUCUUCUGUGUGUUUCUGUCUUGCUUCCUUGCGGCCAUAAUACCAGCUGAGGUCGUCAGUACAAUUACUUCCAACUGAUGAGAUUGGAGAAGACAAUUCUGCUACUUUUCUAGAUCUUUGAGUUACACAUCCAACCUGGGUCUGACUAUGCUUCUUUAACCUGUAUAUGAGGGAACUUCCAUAUGUGUGGGUGCAGCCCUAAAAAGCAAAAACAAAGAAACAUUGUUGGUGGGCAUGUGAAUUGGUGCAACCAUGUUGGGAAAUAGUCUGGCUUUAUCUCCUAAAGCUGAGCAGAUACAUAUCCUAUGACCCAGCAAUUUUCUUUUCUUUUUUUUUUUUUUUUUUUUUUUUGCUUUUUUAGGGCCACACCUGUGGCAUAUGGAUGUCCCCAAGCUAGGGGUCUAAUUGGAGCUACAGCUCCCAGCCUACACCACAGCCAUAGCAACACGCUGGAUCCGAGCCGCAUCUGCGACCUACACCACAGCUCAUGACAAUGCCAGAUUCUUAACCCACUGAGCAAGGUCAGGGAUUGAACCCUCAACCUCGUGAUUCCUAGUCGGAUUCACUUCCAUUGUGCCACGAUGGGAACUCCUAACCUAGCAAUUCAAAUCCAAAGUACCCACUGUGGAAAAAUUCUUGCCCAUCUACACCAAGAACUACAUGGAAGACUAUUCACGGGGGUGCUGGCCACAGUAGCCCAAAUUGGGAAACACCCACGUCCCCAUCUAUGGGAGAGCAGAUGAAUAAAUUCCCAUGAUAAAAUAUUACUUGGCA